UACGGGGGGAGCAAGCGUUGUUCGGAUUUACUGGGCGUAAAGGGCGCGUAGGCGGUCAGCACAAGUCGGGUGUGAAAUCUCGGAGCUUAACUCCGAAACUGCAUUCGAUACUGCCGUGCUUGAGGACUGGAGAGGAGACUGGAAUUUACGGUGUAGCGGUGAAAUGCGUAGAUAUCGUAAGGAAGACCAGUGGCGAAGGCGGGUCUCUGGACAGUUCCUGACGCUGAGGCACGAAGGCCAGGGGAGCAAACGGG
This 254-nucleotide ribosomal RNA is filed under the name uncultured bacterium. RNAcentral's name for it is "partial 16S ribosomal RNA". It matches the Rfam family "Bacterial small subunit ribosomal RNA", at positions 524 to 776 of the family's 1533-position model. The record is from RNAcentral.